GGGUUGUGAGGUUAAGCGACUAAGCGUACACGGUGGAUGCCCUGGCAGUCAGAGGCGAUGAAGGACGUGCUAAUCUGCGAUAAGCGUCGGUAAGGUGAUAUGAACCGUUAUAACCGGCGAUUUCCGAAUGGGGAAACCCAGUGUGAUUCGUCACACUAUCAUUAACUGAAUCCAUAGGUUAAUGAGGCGAACCGGGGGAACUGAAACAUCUAAGUACCCCGAGGAAAAGAAAUCAACCGAGAUUCCCCCAGUAGCGGCGAGCGAACGGGGAGUAGCCCAGAGCCUGAAUCAGUGUGUGUGUUAGUGGAAGCGUCUGGAAAGGCGCGCGAUACAGGGUGACAGCCCCGUACACAAAAAUGCACAUGCUGUGAGCUCGAUGAGUAGGGCGGGACACGUGGUAUCCUGUCUGAAUAUGGGGGGACCAUCCUCCAAGGCUAAAUACUCCUGACUGACCGAUAGUGAACCAGUACCGUGAGGGAAAGGCGAAAAGAACCCCGGCGAGGGGAGUGAAAAAGAACCUGAAACCGUGUACGUACAAGCAGUGGGAGCACGCUUAGGCGUGUGACUGCGUACCUUUUGUAUAAUGGGUCAGCGACUUAUAUUCUGUAGCAAGGUUAACCGAAUAGGGGAGCCGAAGGGAAACCGAGUCUUAACUGGGCGUUAAGUUGCAGGGUAUAGACCCGAAACCCGGUGAUCUAGCCAUGGGCAGGUUGAAGGUUGGGUAACACUAACUGGAGGACCGAACCGACUAAUGUUGAAAAAUUAGCGGAUGACUUGUGGCUGGGGGUGAAAGGCCAAUCAAACCGGGAGAUAGCUGGUUCUCCCCGAAAGCUAUUUAGGUAGCGCCUCGUGAAUUCAUCUCCGGGGGUAGAGCACUGUUUCGGCAAGGGGGUCAUCCCGACUUACCAACCCGAUGCAAACUGCGAAUACCGGAGAAUGUUAUCACGGGAGACACACGGCGGGUGCUAACGUCCGUCGUGAAGAGGGAAACAACCCAGACCGCCAGCUAAGGUCCCAAAGUCAUGGUUAAGUGGGAAACGAUGUGGGAAGGCCCAGACAGCCAGGAUGUUGGCUUAGAAGCAGCCAUCAUUUAAAGAAAGCGUAAUAGCUCACUGGUCGAGUCGGCCUGCGCGGAAGAUGUAACGGGGCUAAACCAUG
Molecule: ribosomal RNA, 1158 nt
Filed under: Escherichia coli
Lineage: Bacteria; Pseudomonadati; Pseudomonadota; Gammaproteobacteria; Enterobacterales; Enterobacteriaceae
Description: partial 23S ribosomal RNA
Rfam family: Bacterial large subunit ribosomal RNA
Source: RNAcentral